GUUUUGUUUCUUUUACAUGCCGAGAGACGAGAUGUGCAGUGGACGAUUAAAGAGGACGUUGACAUCCAUAGAGGUGAGUCACACACAUUGACGGAAGCGAUGGCCGUUUUGUGUUGUCUGUGUCAUGUUUGCACUUUGUUCGGGUUCUUUACAUGUGUAACUCUUUGCUUUGACACACUCUGUCCUUGAGGUGUUGGCUGUUUUCCAUCUGGGUCAUGUUUGGACUUUAUCCUGGUCACUUGUCUGCGUCAUUCAUGGGUUUGACAUAAAUUGAAGACAUGGGACUUUGAUUGUUUGCUGAUGUCGCCAUAUGUUUUGUUUCUUUUACAUGCCGAGAGACGAGAUCUGCAGUGGACGAUUAAAGACGACGUAGACAUCCAUAGAGGUGAGUUAAACACACUCAUGGAGGAGAUGGCUGUUGUAUUUCUGCUUCAUGUUUGCACUGUUUUCCGGUGACUUGCAUUUCUGCUUUAGUGCUUUCCACUUUGCUGUUUUCUCACACUUAGCUAUUUUCACACUAUGUUCUUUUCUCACACUUUGCUAGUUUUCAUAUUUUCUCACACUUUGUUCUUUUUCAUCUUUCCUAUUACUUUGGUAUUUUCUCA
Molecule: long non-coding RNA, 605 nt
Organism: Amphiprion ocellaris (clown anemonefish)
Lineage: Eukaryota; Metazoa; Chordata; Actinopteri; Pomacentridae
Source: Ensembl